AGCCCCUCGUUCUCCCUGCCGUGUUUUCUUCCUCGUCGAUACAACUUUUAUUACAUAAAUAUAAAGAAAACAAUCACGAUGUUAGGUAGUGACGCGUCGGUCAACCUAAUCAAAAAAUAAAUCAGAGGCUCCCCGCAAUGAACUUACAAACCAAAAAAAUCGUCCUGAACCUAGCAGUCGUGAUGCUAGGACUGAGCGUCACCCUCUUCAUAUACUACGGUCACAAACGGCAUGUCAACAAAGGCUUAGACACAAACACAGCCACUGGUGUGUUCAGCCUUAGUGGAGCAGGAGAGAGAGACCAGCGCCAGUCUUCUUCGGUUUUCCUCGACUAUAAGAUCACGGGUGUUCUCCCUCCGCCCGUUGACCCGACCAAGGACAAGGUCAUACUCUUCUGGGCGGAGUGGUAUAAGUCGCAGACGUGGAAGGAUAGGUUCGGCAUGUAUGACCAGCUGGAGAAGGAAGGCUGCCCGGAGUAUCGGUGCGAAUUCACUUACGACAGGAAUAGGCUCAGUGAAGCUGAUGCUAUUCUCUUCAAGUCAGAUGACAUACGGAUGGACGACAUACCAAGCCUGCGGCUGCCCCACCAGCGCUGGGUGUGGGUGGAGGUGGAGGCGCCGCUGAGCCAACGCGGCAUCAACGCCAUGAGCAUCGUGGACGAGCUCGGAAGCCACAACAUCAACUGGACCAUGUCCUACCACUCGUCCUCCGAGAUCGUCGGAAUGAACGGCUACCUCUACACUCUCAAAUUCCCGAUCCAGCCGUUGCGUGCGAACCUGAUAGCAGACCACCGGCCCACCAUGAGCAUGUACCUGCAGGCCCUAGAGUCCAACACGACCCUGGAGGCCAUCAUGGGCCCCAGCUGGAGGAGCUUCGUGACGCGGCCGAAGCUCGUGGUCUGGAUGUCCAGCCACUGCCCGACGUCGUCUCGCAGGGAGGACUAUGUGGUGGAACUCCAAAAGUACAUUCACGUGGAGGUCUUCGGGUUCUGCGGGAAAUUCCAGUGCGGCGAACACUUCGAUGCGUUCGGGUCCACUUGCUGGGAAAGGAGGCUCCGACCACAGUAUUUGUUUUAUCUCACCAUGGAAAACAGCCUUUGUGAUGAAUAUAUCACAGAGAAGCUGUAUAACCCGCUGAUACAUGGGCUUGUACCUGUCGUUUAUGGAUUGUCUGACUACCAGAAAUUCCUUCCUCCUCACUCUUAUAUAAACGCUCGCCAUUACCAUCCUCGCGAGCUGGGAGAUAUUCUGACAAUGCUGCAGCGAGAUCCCGUCGCCUAUGGCAAAUACCACGUCUGGCGCGGGUAUUGGAAAGCGAUGCUACCGGGCAGCAUGUGCGAGCUGUGCCACCGCCUCCACAACGACUUCCACACCGGCCACCACAUAGACAUCCCACGCUGGCGAGAGGAGAACGAGAAGUGCUUCGACGCGCCCGUGGAGAUGUUCAAAGACGACGGGUGGCGGCAGGUGGUCCAGCCGGAGGAGUUCAAGACCGAGGAGAGUCUUAUCCAGGAUGAUCAUGUCUUCAUCCUGGCGCUCUUCUGCCUCCUGGGCUCUGCCUUGUUGCUCAUUUUUAGGCAGUGAGGACGACUCGUUGAAGAUUUUGCAGUACGUUACAUGAUGAAAAUAUACAUUAAGGUGUAGCAUUAUGCAAAUGUGCUACAAAAUACACAAAUAAAGGCUAUUUUAAUACA
Molecule: unclassified non-coding RNA, 1693 nt
Filed under: Penaeus japonicus
Lineage: Eukaryota; Metazoa; Arthropoda; Malacostraca; Decapoda; Penaeidae
Description: alpha-(1,3)-fucosyltransferase C-like, transcript variant X1
Source: RNAcentral